CGUGCCCCGGGUUAAAUUCACUGCAUCAAGAUAGCUUACUCACCCGCAGACCCAGACGGACAGUCGGUAAAAGCACCUUUAGCACUCUCAAAAGCUGUUCGGGCAAAGGGUCGAGCGAGCCACUUGACGUCUGAUCUAAAGCUUCGCUAACGGAUGAAAAGGUUUGAUGUUUAAUAUCUUCGCUGGUUAAUGAUUUACGUCUGACGUUGAUCAUACUAUUGACCCCGGAGUGAUGGUACAGUAAAUGAGACUAUGUGGGAUUUCACGAAUGCACUGAGGGGUCAUAGCCGAGGACUGCAGUUCCGCUCGUUCAAACCCUGUCUGCUGAAAAGGAGUGGCUAUUUAAAUAUUACACACACCGGGCUCGAAGAAAAGGACUCGACAAGUUCAUCUCGUUUGGGAUGCAUAAACCUGCAGUCAUAGCCAUUGAAAGUCGUUCAGUCACCCGCAUUCAUGGAUAUUUGACCGCUCGUAAAGCGUAGGCUACGGAAUGUACAUUAAAGAGCAUCUGGAAGUAGCCACACUGCAGCUAGCUGAUUCCUCCAGUCAGAGGACAUCUUCUUUAUCAUUAGGUCGGCACAAACACAAGAAAGUUCUGAACUACUGAAUGGACACCUGGCCUGUUCAUCAGAUAACAUGGUCCUCAAGUCCUCUCCUGCUGUUUGAAACCUGAUUGUUAAACUGAACACACUUUUACCUGCCUCAGCUGCCUGUGAACGACCAUCCAGCUGGACUUGUAUCAGCUCCUUCUCUAAUGACAGUCAUGCCUUUUCCUUUUUUUCUUUGUUUAUUUAUUUGUUGAAAAUCCUGUAGGGAGACAGGGUCAUUAUUGGAAGGGGGAGAAUUGCAGGAAGGAAUGAAUUGAGAAUAGUGUGACUGAGAAUGAUUAAGGGCUGGAACAGAGGAAGUAAAAAUGGGAAAGAGGGUGAGUAGAAACAAGGAAAAGAUGGAGAGGAUGACAGGAGUGUAGAGGAGGAGGAGAGAGUAGAAAGAAGGAAUUGAGGGAGGAAUACAUUUAUAAAUUAGGUAGAAUAUACAUUUGGAAAAAUGAG
This is a long non-coding RNA of Esox lucius (northern pike), 1052 nucleotides long. Lineage: Eukaryota; Metazoa; Chordata; Actinopteri; Esociformes; Esocidae. The record is from Ensembl.